RNAcentral lists this long non-coding RNA (411 nucleotides) under Phoenix dactylifera (date palm). RNAcentral describes it as "long non-coding RNA (PDAC_LNC010884)". The record is from RNAcentral. Lineage: Eukaryota; Viridiplantae; Streptophyta; Magnoliopsida; Arecales; Arecaceae.
UAUACGCCAUACUCCCCUUUCUAAGCGGCCGCUUAAUUUGCAUAGCGGAGACAACUCGAGGGGAGGUAUAAGCACCACUACCUAUGAAGCUGAAUUCGGUAUCUCCGGGGAUCUGAAAGUUUACCCGUUUCUCAUGGCAGUUAAUGGUGGCAAAUUAUGAUGCUAAUCAGUCCAUACCGAGGAUUAUGUCAAAGUCAUGCAUAUCUAUAACUAUCAAAUCAGCAGGCAAGUCUCUACCUACUAUCUGAAUCGGACAAGUCUUGCAGACCUGGUUACCAAUCAUCCCGCUCCCGGCAGGAGUGCUAACAUGCAGAUCAUACUCUAAUUGCACAUAAGGCAGGUCAUGUUUUUGCACAAAUGUAGAUGACACAAAGGAAUGCGUAGCACCAGAAUCAAAUAAUGUAUGAGCAU